UACAGGCAUGAGCCACCGCGCCUGGCCACAAUCUGCUAAAUACCAACUGGAGUUGUCAGGUCUUAGAUGCAGCAACUAGUUCAAAGUGAGAAGGACCGAAUACAGUGGCUUUCCAAGUUUUUCAGCUUUGACCUACGUAAAACAAUAAGGAGAACAGAAGCGAAAACAAUACAUGAAGAUAUGACAAAAACAUUUUGGGAGCUAAACAUCUGAUGGAAGAAGGAAAACUGACUAGGGUCCGAGGAAGUUGAAACGGUGGGAACAACAAGCGGCAGGCCAGUGUUGACUUCGUUGCCGCUGAAAGGCUUGGGACUGGGAGCAUCAAGCUUUCCAAAGGUAGGGGUGGAAGGAGGGGGCUGGAAAUGAAGGGUGAGUUUAAACUCGACAUAAGGAGCAGUUAGACCCUCAUGUUCCCUCCUCCAGCCUGGGCAGCUGGGUGACUGCCCCUCUCCCACUGCCCCCCCAGAAAAGGCAGGAGGUAUCUGGGUUCUCUGGAGAGAAUGAAGCAAUGGGUCCCUGGGCUUCAGGUUGUCAGCCAGCUGAGGGUGAAGAGGGAGAGAAACUGCAGCUAUUUUCUCCUGACUCUAGAGCACUAGCAGCCAGGUUCAUGGUCCCCAGGCCAGAGGCUGCAGGGUUCUUCUCUGGAAGAACCGAGCAGCCUAAAAAUUCUCUGGGCAUUGAGGGAUCUCAACACAAUGGUUGUCUCUGCCACCUCACCCUGCAGGGAAGAUGCAAAUCUUCGAAUUUUAGAGAGCAUUCAGUUGGCCUUUAAGUGCCUCUGCUCAGAUAUGAAGGAGCAAACCAGGGUUUGAGGGAAGUCUCUUCCAUGAAAGACAGAAGCCAAAAUAAAGACAUAAAUGGUGGUGAGGAGGAAAACAAGUACAAUGCAGGGAAUGUAAAAAUAUAAUUUAUAUAACUAGACUACUAAUAAUAUAAUAAUAUAACUUAUUAAGAAUGCUCAGGGCUGGGGGCAGUGGCUCACGCCUGUA
Long non-coding RNA from Homo sapiens (human), 989 nucleotides. Lineage: Eukaryota; Metazoa; Chordata; Mammalia; Primates; Hominidae. The record is from Ensembl.